RNAcentral lists this ribosomal RNA (469 nucleotides) under uncultured bacterium. RNAcentral's name for it is "partial 16S ribosomal RNA". It matches the Rfam family "Bacterial small subunit ribosomal RNA", at positions 28 to 507 of the family's 1533-position model. The record is from RNAcentral.
GACGAACGCCGGCGGCGUGCUUAACACAUGCAAGUCGAACGGAAAGGCCCUGCUUGCAGGGUGCUCGAGUGGCGAACGGGUGAGUAACACGUGGGUGAUCUGCCCCUUACUUUGGGAUAAGCCUGGGAAACUGGGUCUAAUACUGGAUAGGACCAUGCUGUAGGUGGUGUGGUGGAAAGAUUAGUUUCGGUAAGGGAUGAGCUCGCGGCCUAUCAGCUUGUUGGUGGGGUAAUGGCCUACCAAGGCGUCGACGGGUAGCCGGCCUGAGAGGGUGGACGGCCACAUUGGGACUGAGAUACGGCCCAGACUCCUACGGGAGGCAGCAGAGGGGAAUAUUGCACAAUGGGCGCAAGCCUGAUGCAGCGACGCCGCGUGGGGGAUGACGGCCUUCGGGUUGUAAACUCCUUUCAGCCAUGACGAAGCCCUUGUGGUGACGGUAGUGGUAGAAGAAGCACCGGCUAACUACGUG